AGCAUGUGGUUUAAUUCGAUGAUACGCGAGGAACCUUACCUGGGCUCGAACGUAAGAUGACUGUAGGUGAAAGCUUACAUCUCUUCGGAGCAUUUUACGAGGUGCUGCAUGGUUGUCGUCAGCUCGUGCCGUGAGGUGUCGGGUUAAGUCCCAUAACGAGCGCAACCCUACCUUUAGUUGCCAUCAGGUAAUGCUGGGGACUCUAAAGGAACUGCCUACGCAAGUAGUGAGGAAGCGGGGAUGACGUCAAAUCAGCACGGCCCUUACGUCCAGGGCUACACACGUGCUACAAUGGCCGAUACAGAGGGCAGCUACCUGGUGACAGGAUGCAAAUCUCCAAAGUCGGUCUCAGUUCGGAUCGGAGUCUGCAACCCGACUCCGUGAAGUUGGAUUCGCUAGUAAUCGCGCAUCAGCCAUGGCGCGGUGAAUACGUUCCCGGGCCUU
This 444-nucleotide ribosomal RNA is filed under the name uncultured Sphingobacteriales bacterium. RNAcentral describes it as "bacterial SSU rRNA". It matches the Rfam family "Bacterial small subunit ribosomal RNA", at positions 936 to 1382 of the family's 1533-position model. Lineage: Bacteria; Pseudomonadati; Bacteroidota; Sphingobacteriia; Sphingobacteriales. The record is from RNAcentral.